AUGACCAGCUGGGUGGCACAACAGUAGAAAGGGAUCUUGCAGUCAUAGAUGACUCCAAGAUGAACAUGAGUCAUCAAUGUGACGAAGUAAUCAA
Long non-coding RNA from Gavialis gangeticus (Gharial), 94 nucleotides. RefSeq lists it as uncharacterized. NCBI's taxonomy places the organism in Eukaryota, Metazoa, Chordata, Crocodylia, Gavialidae. The record is from RefSeq and is a predicted model, not a curated record. The transcript has 3 exons.